RNAcentral lists this ribosomal RNA (502 nucleotides) under uncultured bacterium. RNAcentral's name for it is "bacterial SSU rRNA". It matches the Rfam family "Bacterial small subunit ribosomal RNA", at positions 20 to 509 of the family's 1533-position model. The record is from RNAcentral.
UGGCUCAGGAUGAACGCUAGCGGCAGGCUUAACACAUGCAAGUCGGAGGGGCAGCAUACCCGGCAACGGGGUGAGUGGCGACCGGCGUAAGGGUGAGUAACGCGUGAGCAACAUACCCGUAUCGAGGGAGAUAAUACGAAGGGAAACUUGUUCUAAUAUUCCAUAAUAUUAUCCAGAGGCAUUCUUUGGAUACUUAAAGUUACGACGGAUACGGAAUGGCUCGCGUGACAUUAGUUAGAUGGUAGGGUAAUGGCCUACCAUGACUAUGAUGUCUAGGGGUUCUGAGAGGGAGGUCCCCCACACUGGAACUGAGACACGGUCCAGACUCCUACGGGAGGCAGCAGUGAGGAAUAUUGGACAAUGGAUGGAAAUCUGAUCCAGCCAUGCCGCGUGCAGGAAGGCGGCCCUAUGGGUUGUAAACUGCUUUUGUACGGGAGCAAUAAGGUCUACGAGUAGAUUGAUGAGAGUACUGUACGAAUAAGCAUCGGCUAAACUCCGUGCC